GUGACACAGUGACAGAGUUAGGGAGGGAGUGACUAAUGACAGAGAGAGGGAUGGGGUGACUAGUGACAGUCACCCCCUCCCUCCCUCUGUCACUAGUCACUCCCUCCCUCUGUCACCAGUCAUCC
This 125-nucleotide microRNA precursor is filed under the name Pelobates cultripes (western spadefoot toad). Lineage: Eukaryota; Metazoa; Chordata; Amphibia; Anura; Pelobatidae. The record is from RNAcentral.